AGGUAUGUUCCUCUUUUCUGUGUUUUAUGUUAAGAAUAAGUUUAUACUUAUGGUUUUUCUUAGUAUUAAAUAGAACAGUGCCCUUGCUUUAGUUUUUGUAAACCCCAUAGAUCUAUUCUAUUUUUUCUUUUGAUUGCCUUUGGUAUUAUGAUCUCACUAGAAAUAUAAAUGAUUCUAUUUUUCCCGAAAUUAAAAGAUCUACUUCUUAACCUCCUCUACUGUAGCAUUAGUAGAGCUAAUAAGUUGUAGUUAUGAAAACUUAGUCGAUUUUAAUUAUACCUGGUUGCCUUAAGUUAUUACAUUAAGUUAUCAUCUUUUUAGGUGUACAUUUUACUUGGUUAAGCUAAGUAUUUUUGAGUUAAAUUUACGCUGUCAAUACUGUAGUAGAAUUAAAAGUAUUCUAUACUCUGUGUCAUUAUAGCUUUCUCUUUUGUCUAUUUUAAUUUUAAAUUUUUACUCUUUUUUAAGGUAUUUUGGUGUAAUUAAUCUCCUUAUAUAUAAUGUGUGUAUUAUUAGUUUAGUUAUAUAUUUAAUUUUAAUUUUAACUUAUAGGACCAGAAUUCGGCUCUUUUUCUACAACUGUUUAUUAAAAACAUAGCCUUAGGCAAUAUCUAAGGUAUCUUCUGCCCACUGAUUAUUUUAAAUGGCCGCAGUACUCUGACUGUGCUAAGGUAGCGUGAUUCUUGUUUUCUUAAUUAGAAAUCUGUUCAAAGAAUGAUAUGUAGAAGAUCUUUUGCUCCUGUACUUUAUGAACUUAAAUCAUUAGUGAAAAUUCUAAUUUAUUCUCAAAAGACGAGAAGACCCCAUAAAACUUAAUUUGAUACUUACUCUUUUUUCUUAAAAAUUUAGAUGGGGACUUUAGAGUAUUCUAAUAACUUUUUGACCUAAUUUAUUAUUUAUUGAGAAGCUACUUUGGGGAUAACAGGGUGAGAUGUUUGGAGAGUCCUUAUCGAUAAGCAUAGUUACUACCUCGAUGUUGGAUUAUCUUUUCAUAUACAUUGUAGCAGUGUAUAUUGUCAGUCUGUUCGACUGUUAAAAAGUUACAUGAUCUGAGUUUAAACCGUUGUAAGACAGGUUGGAUUUUAUCUUUGACUUUAUUUUUUAGCUUAUUAGUACGAAAGGAAUUUAGGUUUAUAAUUAUUAUU
RNAcentral lists this ribosomal RNA (1145 nucleotides) under Brachionus angularis. RNAcentral describes it as "16S ribosomal RNA". The stretch from base 786 to 1092 matches the Rfam family "Archaeal large subunit ribosomal RNA", at positions 2150 to 2716 of the family's 2987-position model. The record is from RNAcentral. Lineage: Eukaryota; Metazoa; Rotifera; Eurotatoria; Ploima; Brachionidae.